The sequence is a small nucleolar RNA, 130 nucleotides long. Its record names the gene SNORA63. It matches the Rfam family "Small nucleolar RNA SNORA63". Rfam says of the family: E3 belongs to the H/ACA class of snoRNAs and is involved in the processing of eukaryotic pre-rRNA and has regions of complementarity to 18S rRNA. The record is from Ensembl.
UUGCAGAUUCAGUUACAUAUCAGCUGACACUGUGCUGGUUUGUCGUUCCCCCUGCAUAAAUAAACUUGUUUCCUACUAUCCCUGUCUGUUUGCAAUCCAACAACUUGCAGGGACGCUUGGUCUCUCACAU